Juglans regia (Persian walnut) is the source of this 570-nucleotide long non-coding RNA. RefSeq lists it as uncharacterized. The record is from RefSeq and is a predicted model, not a curated record. The transcript is spliced from 2 exons. Lineage: Eukaryota; Viridiplantae; Streptophyta; Magnoliopsida; Fagales; Juglandaceae.
AGAUCACUUGUUUUCAGUUUCUACUUUCCUUCGUGCGUCUCUACCUUGGCCUCCUCUCCUGUCCGUCUCUUCACUUUCAAAGGGUGGAACCCUAGCCUAAAUCUCCUCAAGGAAAGGGAUAAACAUAGCCGGGAGUCCUCCUCCAUUACUUCGGAUCACACACUUCCAUUUCUUUGUUUUGAUACUUAAAUUCGCACCUUGAGAAGAAGAAGAGCAAGUCAGGUGUAAGGUUCAACUUGCUGCACUUCCAGAAUAUUGAGCAGACCACUCUCACCUCCAGCUCAAAGAUGACUCAUCCAUCAAAUUCCAUCUCAGCAGCCAAGCUUCCAGAAGGUUCAGGAGUCACGUAGAGUAAUAGGUUGGCUGUGUGCUGAUUCGGUUAUGAUGAAAAUAUUGUGUAGUGCUCUAGCGAGGUGUCUGUUGUAACAAGCUCUGCAAUAUUCUCUGUACAGCAGCGUGCAUACCAGCCGCUUGCUAUUUUGCCUACAACGAUUCUGUACAGCCGUGUAUUUAAACACUACUUGUAUUAUUUUGAAAAUUAAUGAGAAUCAAAUAUUCAUUUUCUUAAAA